UACGAAGGGGGCUAGCGUUGUUCGGAAUCACUGGGCGUAAAGGGUGCGUAGGCGGGUCUUUAAGUCAGGGGUGAAAUCCUGGAGCUCAACCUCCAGAACUGGCCUUUGAUACUGAGGAUCUUGAGUUCGGGAGAGGUGAGUGGAACUGCGAGUGUAGAGGUGAAAUUCGUAGAUAUUCGCAAGAACACCAGUGGCGAAGGCGGCUCACUGGCCCGUAACUGACGCUGAGGCACGAAAGCGUGGGGAGCAAACAGG
RNAcentral lists this ribosomal RNA (255 nucleotides) under uncultured bacterium. RNAcentral's name for it is "partial 16S ribosomal RNA". It matches the Rfam family "Bacterial small subunit ribosomal RNA", at positions 524 to 776 of the family's 1533-position model. The record is from RNAcentral.